RNAcentral lists this non-coding RNA (100 nucleotides) under uncultured Thalassiosira. Lineage: Eukaryota; Bacillariophyta; Thalassiosirophyceae; Thalassiosirales; Thalassiosiraceae. The record is from RNAcentral.
GAAGAUCAGAGUAGAGGGAACACUGACUGGCGUGUCCGAGGAGGGAUUCCGCGGGAAGAAGAACGGAGACUCCAGAAAAACGUGCGAACUUGUCUGCGAC